This 468-nucleotide ribosomal RNA is filed under the name uncultured bacterium. RNAcentral describes it as "partial 16S ribosomal RNA". It matches the Rfam family "Bacterial small subunit ribosomal RNA", at positions 28 to 507 of the family's 1533-position model. The record is from RNAcentral.
GACGAACGCUGGCGGCGUGCUUAACACAUGCAAGUCGAACGGAAAGGCCCUGCUUUUGUGGGGUGCUCGAGUGGCGAACGGGUGAGUAACACGUGAGUAACCUGCCCUUGACUUUGGGAUAACUUCAGGAAACUGGGGCUAAUACCGGAUAGGAGCUCCUGCUGCAUGGUGGGGGUUGGAAAGUUUCGGCGGUUGGGGAUGGACUCGCGGCUUAUCAGCUUGUUGGUGGGGUAGUGGCUUACCAAGGCUUUGACGGGUAGCCGGCCUGAGAGGGUGACCGGCCACAUGAGGACUGAGAGACGGCCCAGAGUCCAACGGGGGGCAGCAGGGGGGAAUAUUGCACAAUGGGCGGAAGCCUGAUGCAGCAACGCCGCGUGCGGGAUGACGGCCUUCGGGUUGUAAACCGCUUUCGCCUGUGACGAAGCGUGAGUGACGGUAAUGGGUAAAGAAGCACCGGCUAACUACGUG